GAUGAACGCUGGCGGCGUGCCUAAUACAUGCAAGUCGAGCGAACGGACGAGAAGCUUGCGCCUCUGCGGUUAGCGGCGGACGGGCGAGUAAGACGUGGAUAACCUUCCUAUAAGACUGGGAUAAUUUCGGGAAACCGGAGCUACUACCGGAUAAUAUUAUGAACCGCAUAGAUCAAAAGUGAUAGACGGCUUUGCCGUCACUUAUAGAUGGAUCCGCGUUGCAUUAGCUAGUUGGUAAGGUAACGGCCUACCAAGGCAACGAUGCAUAGCCGACCUGAGAGGAUGAUCGGCCACACUGGAACUGAGACACGGUCCAGACUCCUACGGGAGGCAGCAGUAGGGAAUAUUCGACAAUGGGCGAAAGCCUGAUGGAGCCACGCCGCGUGAGUGAUGAAGGUCUUCGGGUCGUAAAGCCCUUUUGUUAGGGAAGAACAGCUGUGUGAGUAACCGUGCCCAUUUUGACGGUACCUAAACAGAAAGCACCGGCUAACUACGUG
Molecule: ribosomal RNA, 497 nt
Filed under: uncultured bacterium
Lineage: Bacteria
Description: partial 16S ribosomal RNA
Rfam family: Bacterial small subunit ribosomal RNA
Source: RNAcentral